This 463-nucleotide ribosomal RNA is filed under the name Vreelandella stevensii. RNAcentral's name for it is "partial 16S ribosomal RNA". It matches the Rfam family "Bacterial small subunit ribosomal RNA", at positions 338 to 795 of the family's 1533-position model. Lineage: Bacteria; Pseudomonadati; Pseudomonadota; Gammaproteobacteria; Oceanospirillales; Halomonadaceae. The record is from RNAcentral.
CCUACGGGUGGCUGCAGUGGGGAAUAUUGGACAAUGGGCGAAAGCCUGAUCCAGCCAUGCCGCGUGUGUGAAGAAGGCCUUCGGGUUGUAAAGCACUUUCAGUGGGGAAGAAAGCCUUGGGGCUAAUACCCUCGAGGAAGGACAUCACCCACAGAAGAAGCACCGGCUAACUCCGUGCCAGCAGCCGCGGUAAUACGGAGGGUGCGAGCGUUAAUCGGAAUUACUGGGCGUAAAGCGCGCGUAGGCGGUCUGAUAAGCCGGUUGUGAAAGCCCCGGGCUCAACCUGGGAACGGCAUCCGGAACUGUCAGGCUAGAGUGCAGGAGAGGAAGGUAGAAUUCCCGGUGUAGCGGUGAAAUGCGUAGAGAUCGGGAGGAAUACCAGUGGCGAAGGCGGCCUUCUGGACUGACACUGACGCUGAGGUGCGAAAGCGUGGGUAGCAAACAGGAUUAGAUACCCGGUGUC